GAAGUCACGGGGGUUUCCGGAAUGGUCCGGAAAUGAAGAUUGAUAUCUAUGAUGGUUUCAUUUGGUCACCGGGAAGUUUUUGGCAAUUCCGGCAGUGUACCGGGAGUGAUGAAUGGGUUCUGGGAGUUCACCUGGAGGGGCCCACCCACCCGGGAGUGAGCCCAAUGCCCUAGGGUGGUGCCACAAGUCCUUAGUGGGCUGGUGGAGUUAGCCCAAGGAGCCCAUGGCGCCACAUAAGAAAAUACCAAAAUAGAAAAGAAAAACA
This 265-nucleotide long non-coding RNA is filed under the name Hordeum vulgare. RNAcentral's name for it is "long non-coding RNA (HVUL_LNC016457)". Lineage: Eukaryota; Viridiplantae; Streptophyta; Magnoliopsida; Poales; Poaceae. The record is from RNAcentral.